RNAcentral lists this unclassified non-coding RNA (121 nucleotides) under uncultured Glomeromycotina. RNAcentral's name for it is "sequence contains ITS1". Lineage: Eukaryota; Fungi; Glomeromycota. The record is from RNAcentral.
CAGUGUUAGGCUUCGGCCUCAUUCACACCCCUUGUUUAACCUCUGGUUUCUUUGGCGAUGUCAGACUCGUCAAACUUUAACUCUGGUAAUGUGAUACUGUCCGAGUGAUAUUAAAUCAUAA